Non-coding RNA from Epinephelus lanceolatus (giant grouper), 1055 nucleotides. The record is from RefSeq and is a predicted model, not a curated record. NCBI's taxonomy places the organism in Eukaryota, Metazoa, Chordata, Actinopteri, Perciformes, Serranidae.
CGCAAGGGGGAGACUUAAGCUCUGCGAGGGGAAAAAAAAAAAAGUCUGCUGCUAUUUCUACAGUCAGGGCCUCCCCACAGCCCGCCCUUCCAUAGACGGAGCUUUUUUUUUCACUCACUACUAGCUGGAUUUUAACCCUCUGCCUCCAACUAGCUGCACAGCAGCUCUGCAAAACCUGGCAACAAGUUGCUUUUAGGGGCCUUUUCGCACUUUUGGCGCAUUGAUUUUUGCACCACUUUGGAUUUGGCCGCUGUUUUUUCCAUUCUUUUGUAUUUUGUUUCCUAAAAAUGUGCCGCGUCUUGAUAUUUUUUUCCUCCGCUGAUGGGUUUCUAGUAGUAUUUAUUUAGUUUCUCCCUUUUUGGAUGGAAAUUCGUCAAGGUGGUGUUUCGCCAUGUGAUGGGCCUUGUUCCACCUGGAGUGUCGGGGCGCCAUUUCUGACGGGUAACCUACUCGGGGUGGGCUUGUGGUCUGGAUGACCACUGUGGAUGUCAAGCAGAGAGUGUGACCAGUAUCUGAGCACGAGAUGUGGAUCAAAAGCGGGAAGAGCUGCCAAAUUUCGCAUCCUGUCCGGACAUUUACCAUCUUUGCUCUGAAAAAUCGGCAGUGAGAUGGGUUUUGACUCCAGCCACAGGCACAAACAAUUUGGCCAACAAGUGAAAUCACGUACAGACAGACUGGCGAUCGCAGCAGCAUUAAGUAGCAGAUUUUCGCUCUGGGAUUUUCAGAUGAAGGCUACCUGACAUGUUGCUGAAAUCGCUACAGAGCCAGGUGAGAAACAUUAAAAACAGCAGCAGCUGCGGCCCUCUGCUGCGCACAUGUGGGCCAGGAUAUGAGCUAGCAUGAGCUCUCCCACUGUCAACACUGGUCACUAUUGUUAACACUCUCCUCUCUGAAGCACAAAAUCAGUACUGAGGAAAGAAAGGGAAGGCAUGGUGGAAUCAGUAUUUACAGUUUAUUGCAAUGUAUUCUAUGUUGGGAGCUGUCAUGCUUAACUUUAGGACAGUGGUUCCCAAUCGUUUUGAUGUGUGACUCUUUAAAGGUCCAGUGUGUUGGAU